UCAUACUUGGGCCCAAGUUCUAUCUUCAGCAGCUGUAGGUAGCUGUACAUCUUAUCACAGUUUGAAGAAUGGAGCAAACUAAGUUACAAACAGCAACAAUGGAUGAAGAAAAACAAAAAGAAGAGAUUACGUCAAGCCUCCUCAUCCUCCCAUACGAUAUCAUUGUGGACGAUAUUCUUCCAAGGUUACCCGUAAAAUCGAUAUUGAGAUUCAGUGCACCAAAAACCUGCUGGAGUUUCCGAGGUCUAUCGCAUCUCAGGACGCCAAUACAGUAUAGAAACUUACGUGGAGAGUCUUGUGUCAAUUUCUGGCGGUACUUAUGCAGGGGAGCCAACUGAUCUACAAAAACAAGCAGUAAGAGAGUAUCUACAGCAUAAAAAACGAACAGUAUUAAGCAAGUAUCUAAAGCAAAUGGAGAUAAGCAACCAAGCAGAGAAAGCUGCGUAACAAGCAAUGGAUGUAGUUGCAAGUUAUGUUGCAUCCACAUUUUCAAUGAUGCAUCUGUAUGUUUUUACUAAUGUAUCUUUUAUAGGUCUCACUUUACUUGGUAGUUUUGCUGCGCGCAUCAGUUUCUCAGUAUGUUUUCACCUUGUUACACCUAGAUUAUGGUUUUGACGCAGGCCAGCUAUGUUUGAACAAUUAUUCGUCUUGUUUAGAUGUUUUCUAUUGAACAUUUUUUACACA
Long non-coding RNA from Papaver somniferum (opium poppy), 684 nucleotides. RefSeq lists it as uncharacterized. NCBI's taxonomy places the organism in Eukaryota, Viridiplantae, Streptophyta, Magnoliopsida, Ranunculales, Papaveraceae. The transcript is spliced from 2 exons. The record is from RefSeq and is a predicted model, not a curated record.